RNAcentral lists this ribosomal RNA (253 nucleotides) under uncultured bacterium. RNAcentral's name for it is "partial 16S ribosomal RNA". It matches the Rfam family "Bacterial small subunit ribosomal RNA", at positions 524 to 776 of the family's 1533-position model. The record is from RNAcentral.
UACGUAGGGGGCUAGCGUUGUCCGGAAUCAUUGGGCGUAAAGCGCGUGUAGGCGGCCCGGUAAGUCUGCUGUGAAAGUCCAGGGCUCAACCCUGGGAUGCCGGUGGAUACUGUCGAGCUCGAGUCCGGAAGAGGCGAGUGGAAUUCCUGGUGUAGCGGUGAAAUGCGCAGAUAUCAGGAGGAACACCAAUGGCGAAGGCAGCUCGCUGGGACGUGACUGACGCUGAGACGCGAAAGCGUGGGGAGCAAACAGG